GAGUUUGAUCCUGGCUCAGGACGAACGCUGGCGGCGUGCCUAACACAUGCAAGUCGAGCGGGGAACUUCGGUUCCCAGCGGCGGACGGGUGAGUAACACGUGGGUAACCUGCCUCAUAGAGGGGGAUAGCCUCCCGAAAGGGAGAUUAAUACCGCAUAUACUCUCGGUAUCGCAUGAUACUUAGAGGAAAGGAGCAAUCUGCUAUGAGAUGGACCCGCGGCGCAUUAGCUAGUUGGUGAGGUAAGGGCUCACCAAGGCAACGAUGCGUAGCCGGCCUGAGAGGGUGAACGGCCACAUUGGAACUGAGACACGGUCCAGACUCCUACGGGAGGCAGCAGUGGGGAAUAUUGCACAAUGGGCGAAAGCCUGAUGCAGCAACGCCGCGUGAGUGAUGAAGGCCUUCGGGUUGUAAAGCUCUGUCUUCUGGGACGAUAAUGACGGUACCAGAGGAGGAAGCCACGGCUAACUACGUGCCAGCAGCCGCGGUAAUAC
Molecule: ribosomal RNA, 492 nt
Filed under: uncultured bacterium
Lineage: Bacteria
Description: bacterial SSU rRNA
Rfam family: Bacterial small subunit ribosomal RNA
Source: RNAcentral